This 4118-nucleotide long non-coding RNA is filed under the name Malus domestica (apple). Its description in RNAcentral is "long non-coding RNA (MDOM_LNC000728)". The record is from RNAcentral. Lineage: Eukaryota; Viridiplantae; Streptophyta; Magnoliopsida; Rosales; Rosaceae.
UAAGGAAACACGACAUAAAUGCACAAGAACAAGCCAACUAAGUCGCAUAAAUAUGCUCCUAUCAUAAAGUGAAGGAAAUUGGUGAAAAUAUGAGAUUUAACCUUAUGUUUUUAGUGAUUUGAUGUUGGUCAUAAAUCAAUGUGGAAGGAAUCAAGAAAUUGAAAUAAGGAAACGUAAGUAAUGAUAAUUAAUUAAACUAGUGUUUAGUUGGACUUAUCCCCAUUAAUUAUUUCAGAAAAUAACUCGGUAAUAGGGCGUUAUAAUGGUGCAUUUUACACCACAUUAUAUAUAUAUAUAUAUAUGUAUGUGUGUGUAUAUAUAUGUAUGUAUAUAUAUAUAUGUAUGUAUAUAUAUAUGUAUGUAUGUAUAUAUAUGUAUGUAUGUAUAUAUAUAUGUAUAUGUACAUAUAUAUACAUACAUAUAUAUGUAUGUAUAUAUAUAUAUAUAUAUAUGUAUGUAUAUAUAUGUAUGUAUGUAUGUAUAUAUAUAUGUAUAUUUACAUAUAUAUAUACAAACAUAUAUAUGUAUAUAUAUAUAUAUGUAUAUAUUGGAAAAAUGCUAUAACAUGGUUGAGUAUUAGAUUGCAUCAUGGUUUAUCUAUAUGUAUAUUACCUGCACAUAAUUAUUGUAAAUGCUUUGAAGUGCAAAGGCGAACGUAGGACACCCAGGUAAGUUCAGGUGAGUUUAUGGUAUUAGUUGAAAUGAUUGAGUUAUGGCAUGACUACAUGCAUGUUUUAAGUAACUCCGACACUGUUGUACGAGUUGCCUAUGAAUCGUACAUGUUAUGUUGAGAUAUAUUGAGAGCUCAUAAACCUGCACCCCGAUGUUAGUGCUCCCGCCCGUGGCCAGGGCACAGUCUUUCACGUGAUGUUCACCUCCCGCACCUUACGCUCACCUUGGAUCCAAGGUAGGUGCACAGUUCUGUUGUACAGACCAUAUUAGGUGGUUCCGACUUGUAGGUGACCCAUAAUUAUUCGCACAACCUUCACGUGAUCGUAGCACUUGAGCGUAUUUAUUUAUACCCAGUCCUGUCGUACAGACCACUUAGGUGGUUUCGACUCAUGUGCAGAUAUACUUAUUGAGCUAUGGAUAAGUCAUACAUGUCACUAGAGUUGACUCCGACUUAUGAGUUAGCAUAUAUGAUGAAAUAUGUGAUGAGCUAACAUAUAUGAUAAGAUAUGUGAUGAGCUAGCAUAUAUGACGAGAUAUGUGAUGAGCUAGCAUAUAUGACGAGAUAUGUGAUAAGCUAGCAUAUAUGCGAGAUAUGUGAUGAGCUAGCCUUGAUUGAUGAGAUAUAGAUAAAUCAUAUAGGUCACAUGAGGUGACUCUGGCUAACAUAUUGAUGAGCUAUUAAUUCAGCCGUACAGGCCACUAUAGGUGGAUCCAGCUAAUAUGCCAUUUCAUAUUGAUUUAUUUCACAUGAGUACUUAUUCUUAUUGAGAUGUUUGGCACGGUAUAACUGUGAGACUAUUAUUUUGGUUAUGGUAUUGAUUUAUAGUCACGCUUGUUAUUUUCCGGGGAAAUUAUACAGGUAUUACGGUGAGAGGUUACUGCAUUUGGUAGUUGGAUUGGUUUGAAAAGUUUUGUUUCACUCACUCACAUUUUCUAUUUUUGUACCCCUUCAGGUUCUAGCAGCAGAGUUCCGUAUUGAUGAAGAUUCGUGACACUUUUCGAUACAGAUGUUUUCUUAUGAUGGAAUGAUCAUUGUCUCACUUUACUGCACUAUACCUAUGCUCUGUAUCACGUGUGAAAUGGGUCCAUAUCCGCUCACCGCACACUCUGGUAUUUAGGACAUCUUAGGUUUAAAUUUAUUCAUAUUUUUCCACAUCAUCACACUUUAUGGCUUCGUCACCUUCCAGGUGUUAGCCAACACAGCUUGAUUCAGAGUCCUAGUAGACAUUCUGGGUCGGCGUGUGUCAGGAUGCGUUGUUUUUUGUUAUAUGUAGAUGCACUUAAAGCUCAUUAUCCUGCACCCCGGUGCUAAUGCUCCCACCCGUGUUCAGGGCACAGUCCUUCACGUGAUGUUCACCUCCCGCACCACACGCUCACCUUGGAUCCAAGUUUGGUGAACAGCCCUAUUGUACAUACCACAUUAGGUGGUUCUGACUAGUAGGUGACCCGCGAUUAUUCGCACAGCCUUCACGUGAUCGUAGUACUUGAGCGUACUUAUUUGCACCUAGCCCUGUUGUACAGACCACAAUAGGUGGUUCCGACUCGUGUGCAGGCAUACCUGAUAAGCUAUAGGUUCAGCUGUACAUGUCACGUUAGGUGACUCCGGCUGACAUAUCAUUUAUAUUGUUUUAUUUCACCUGACUUACAUAUUUAUUACUGAGAUACUUGACAUGGCACUCACUUUGGUUUUCAUUGCUCUCGAGCGUGAUUUCUAUAUACGUAUGUAUUAUUAUUUUCUGGAAAACUAUACGGGUUUUACGAUGAGAGGUUAUUACUUUUGAAAAGAGAAAUGGUUUUGAAAAGCUUUAUUUUUGCACACUCAUGUUUUUUGUUUUGCGCCCCUCCAAAUUCUAGAUAGAAGUUUGUGACAUCCAUCAAUGUAGGGUUUUCUUUUAUAUAAUUAGUAUUUAGCCUGUUGGACUGCACCUUGGUACCUACGCUCUAAUUAUGUGUAUUUACACUCUAACAUUUCCGCUCGUACUUAUAUACUAGUUUAGUGUAAGUUAGUUUGGUUUUUUUUUAUUUACCCACAUUUUCAUAUCAGUUACUUUCGCACUAUGCACAUGGCUACGUCAUCAUCACGUGAUAGCCAGCACGCCUUGAUUUAGGUCGGGGUGUGUCAUUGUGGCGCAAGUUUUUCGUGCCAAAAAAAUUACCCCGCUUUUUCUUGUUGACUUUACGCGGUGACAUCAAAUAUUCGUCGCACGAAGUAUUCUUGCGCGAUAAACGUUUUCGUCACACAAAUUUUUUUUUUCCUAUCUUGUCUAUUUUACGCGACGAAACAUUUUGUCUGUUGCGCAAGUACAUUUUGUGCGACGAAAUAUUCUUCCUCACGCAAGCUAUUUUUUCUACUAGUGAGAGGAACUUGACAAAUAUAUAUUAAUAAUUAGUUGUGAAAAUAACAUGUUUCCUCUUUAGUUUUUUCAUUCGUUUUCCAUCCGACGCCAAAGACAUGUAAGGUUGUAUAUAAUUUUCCCUCUCCAUUUUCUCGAUUCAUGAUUUGCUAAUCUGCUUAAAUGUCAAAAGCACUCGACACCAUCCCAAUUUUAUAUUCUGUCAUCCAACUAUGUCUUUCAACCAACAAGAGCAUAUUUUUUGAAACAUGUUACUUAUGAAAGCAAACUGAUUCAUCAAAUGCUCAACUUUGACUAUACGACAAAACGAGUAAAACAAAAAUGAAGAAGAAGAAAUAUAAUUAAAAUAAAUAUAUUGUAAUGUUUGGAGUCAUCACAAAUAUACAUAACUGCAGUUUAUUAGCUGCUAAAUAUAAAUCAUUGACCUAAACAAUGAUUAAUUAAUCUCAUUCACGUUUUCCAUGUGAUUACUGCCACCUUUUUUAAUCAAUCAUGGAUUCCUAUUGGUCAAAUGAUAAAUAAAAUAAAUAUGCAUCUGGAAGGUUUUGAACUUUUAAAAGCGUUGUUCUAAAUAUACAAAGCACAAAUGGGGCCGCUUGAAUGUAUAAACUAUAUAGUUAUUUCCAAUUUUGGAUAAAUCCAAUUUCCUUUCUUCCUGGAGCGAUGCCUCAUUUUAAUUCUUAAUAAACUUUUUUUUUACUUAGAUUACUGAAUCACGAUUUUUUAUUUUUUUUUCCUAGUGCCAUUUCAUAUCAGAUACGAGUAUCUUGCCGUUUUCUUUCCCCAUUUACAUGGACAAUGUUGAUUGAAAAUUAAGCAAAAUCAUUGAGCCAUUUAGAAUUAAUAAAACUAGAUCUUCAUGAUCUUCCAAUAAAGUCAAUUGCUUGUUACUAAAAGCUACAGCUCACAAAGGAAGACCACAAAAUUGAAUUUAAGGUCGAAAUUCAAAUAUGUAAAAGAGUACUCCAUUGCCACAUUACUCUGUUUGAGUUUUAGAGUAAAGGGUAACUCACACGAAAUGUAGUUAUUAAUAAUAUUACUUUUAUAAAAACAUUAAGGUGGUGAUUUGUUGAGUCCAAGGUUCUAAAAGAC